GAUGAAGAACGUAGCGAAAUGCGAUAAGUAAUGUGAAUAGCAGAAUUCAGUGAAUCAUCGAAUCUUUGAACGCACAUUGCGCCCGCCAGUAUUCUGGCGGGCAUGCCUGUUCGAGCGUCAUUUCAACCAUCAAGCCCCAGGCUUGUGUUGGGGACCUGCGGCUGCCGCAGGCCCUGAAAACCAGUGGCGGGCUCGCUGUCACACCGGGCGUAGUAGAUUUUAUCUCGCUCAGGGCGUGCUGCGGGUUCCGGCCGUUAAAAAGCCUUUUUUACCCAAGGUUGACCUCGGAUCAGGUAGGAAGACCCGCUGAACUUAAGCAUAUCAAUAAGCGGAGGA
RNAcentral lists this unclassified non-coding RNA (336 nucleotides) under soil metagenome. RNAcentral describes it as "partial contains 5.8S ribosomal RNA, internal transcribed spacer 2, and large subunit ribosomal RNA". The stretch from base 1 to 120 matches the Rfam family "5.8S ribosomal RNA", at positions 35 to 154 of the family's 154-position model. The record is from RNAcentral.